RNAcentral lists this ribosomal RNA (556 nucleotides) under Colletotrichum horii. RNAcentral describes it as "eukaryotic LSU rRNA". The stretch from base 202 to 355 matches the Rfam family "5.8S ribosomal RNA". Lineage: Eukaryota; Fungi; Ascomycota; Sordariomycetes; Glomerellales; Glomerellaceae. The record is from RNAcentral.
CCGUUGGUGAACCAGCGGAGGGAUCAUUACUGAGUUUACGCUCUACAACCCUUUGUGAACAUACCUAUAACUGUUGCUUCGGCGGGCAGGGUCUCCGUGACCCUCCCGGCCUCCCGCCCCCGGGCGGGUCGGCGCCCGCCGGAGGAUAACCAAACUCUGAUUUAACGACGUUUCUUCUGAGUGGUACAAGCAAAUAAUCAAAACUUUUAACAACGGAUCUCUUGGUUCUGGCAUCGAUGAAGAACGCAGCGAAAUGCGAUAAGUAAUGUGAAUUGCAGAAUUCAGUGAAUCAUCGAAUCUUUGAACGCACAUUGCGCCCGCCAGCAUUCUGGCGGGCAUGCCUGUUCGAGCGUCAUUUCAACCCUCAAGCUCUGCUUGGUGUUGGGGCCCUACAGCCGAUGUAGGCCCUCAAAGGUAGUGGCGGACCCUCCCGGAGCCUCCUUUGCGUAGUAACUUUACGUCUCGCACUGGGAUCCGGAGGGACUCUUGCCGUAAAACCCCCAAUUCUCCAAAGGUUGACCUCGGAUCAGGUAGGAAUACCCGCUGAACUUAAGCA